GCUGGCGGCGUGCUUAACACAUGCAAGUCGAACGCGAAAGGGACUACGGUCCUGAGUAAAGUGGCGCACGGGUGAGUAACGCGUAGAUAACCUGUCUUCAUGUCUGGAAUAAUACGCCGAAAGGGGUACUAAUACCGGAUAUUCUUGCUUUUCAUAAGUUAUGCAAGCAAAGGUGGCCUCUGCAUAUGCUACUGCAUGAAGAGGGGUCUGCGUACCAUUAGCUAGUAGGUGGGGUAAUGGCCUACCCAGGCGACGAUGGUUAGCGGGUCUGAGAGGAUGAUCCGCCACACUGGCACUGGAACACGGGCCAGACUCCUACGGGAGGCAGCAGUGAGGAAUAUUGCGCAAUGGGGGAAACCCUGACGCAGCGACGCCGCGUGAGUGAAGGAAGGCCUUCGGGUCGUAAAGCUCUGUCAAGAGGAAAGAAGUGUACAAUGGCUAAUACCUGUUGUAUUUGACGGUACCUCUAAAGGAAGCACCGGCUAACUCCGUGCCAGCCGCUGC
Molecule: ribosomal RNA, 504 nt
Filed under: uncultured bacterium
Lineage: Bacteria
Description: bacterial SSU rRNA
Rfam family: Bacterial small subunit ribosomal RNA
Source: RNAcentral